UACAAUUUAGGUCGCCCGCCAGAAUGA
This 27-nucleotide non-coding RNA is filed under the name Bombyx mori (domestic silkworm). The record is from RNAcentral. Lineage: Eukaryota; Metazoa; Arthropoda; Insecta; Lepidoptera; Bombycidae.